Molecule: ribosomal RNA, 384 nt
Filed under: uncultured eukaryote
Lineage: Eukaryota
Description: partial 18S ribosomal RNA
Rfam family: Eukaryotic small subunit ribosomal RNA
Source: RNAcentral
CAAUAGCGUAUAUUAAAGUUGUUGCAGUUAAAAAGCUCGUAGUUGGAUUUGUGUUUUAGAUGAAUGGUUUUUGCUUUUGCAAAGUACUGUUUAUUUGGGACAUUAUUUGUGAGGGUCCUUGACUGGCAUUAAGUUGUCGGUUUUGGAAGCUUGCAUCGUUUACUGUGAAAAAAUUAGAGUGUUUCAAGCAGGCGUUUGCUUUUGAAUACAUUAGCAUGGAAUAAUAGGAUAUGACUAGCGUGGUCUAUUUUGUUGGUUUGCACACGCAAGUAAUGAUUAAUAGGGACAGUUGGGGGUAUUCAUAUUUGAGCGUCAGAGGUGAAAUUCUUGGAUCGCUGAAAGAUGAGCUUAGGCGAAAGCAUUUAUCAUGGAUGUUUUCAUUAA